RNAcentral lists this ribosomal RNA (520 nucleotides) under uncultured fungus. RNAcentral describes it as "SSU rRNA". It matches the Rfam family "Eukaryotic small subunit ribosomal RNA", at positions 32 to 554 of the family's 1831-position model. Lineage: Eukaryota; Fungi. The record is from RNAcentral.
UUGUCUCAAAGAUUAAGUCAUGCAUGUCUAAGUAUAAGCAACUUGUACUGUGAAACUGCGAAUGGCUCAUUAAGUCAGUUAUCGUUUAUUUGAUAGUACCUUACUACAUGGAUACCUGUGGUAAUUCUAGAGCUAAUACAUGCUAAAAACCCCGACUUCAGGAAGGGGUGUAUUUAUUAGAUAAAAAACCAACGCCCUUCGGGGCUCCUUGGUGAAUCAUAAUAACUUAACGAAUCGCAUGGCCUUGCGCCGGCGAUGGUUCAUUCAAAUUUCUGCCCUAUCAACUUUCGAUGGUAGGAUAGUGGCCUACCAUGGUGGCAACGGGUAACGGAGGGUUAGGGCUCGACCCCGGAGAAGGAGCCUGAGAAACGGCUACUACAUCCAAGGAAGGCAGCAGGCGCGCAAAUUACCCAAUCCCGACACGGGGAGGUAGUGACAAUAAAUACUGAUACAGGGCUCUUUUGGGUCUUGUAAUCGGAAUGAGUACAAUUUAAAUCCCUUAACGAGGAACAAUUGGAGG